UGAGGAAUAUUGGACAAUGGGCGCAAGCCUGAUCCAGCCAUGCCGCGUGCAGGAUGACGGUCCUAUGGAUUGUAAACUGCUUUUGUACAGGAAGAAACAGUUCUACGUGUAGAACCUUGACGGUACUGUAAGAAUAAGGAUCGGCUAACUCCGUGCCAGCAGCCGCGGUAAUACGGAGGAUCCAAGCGUUAUCCGGAAUCAUUGGGUUUAAAGGUCCGUAGGCGGUUAGAUAAGUCAGUGGUGAAAGCCCAUCGCUCAACGGUGGAACGGCCAUUGAUACUGUCUGACUUGAAUUAUUAGGAAGUAACUAGAAUAUGUAGUGUAGCGGUGAAAUGCUUAGAGAUUACAUGGAAUACCAAUUGCGAAGGCAGGUUACUACUAAUGGAUUGACGCUGAUGGACGAAAGCGUGGGUAGCGAACAGGAUUAGAUACCCCGGUAGUCCCUGAGCGGGCUGGCAAGGCGCAU
This 466-nucleotide ribosomal RNA is filed under the name uncultured bacterium. Its description in RNAcentral is "bacterial SSU rRNA". It matches the Rfam family "Bacterial small subunit ribosomal RNA", at positions 355 to 825 of the family's 1533-position model. The record is from RNAcentral.